RNAcentral lists this ribosomal RNA (253 nucleotides) under uncultured bacterium. Its description in RNAcentral is "partial 16S ribosomal RNA". It matches the Rfam family "Bacterial small subunit ribosomal RNA", at positions 524 to 776 of the family's 1533-position model. The record is from RNAcentral.
UACGGAGGAUCCAAGCGUUAUCCGGAAUCAUUGGGUUUAAAGGGUCCGUAGGCGGUCUGAUAAGUCAGAGGUGAAAUCCUGCAGCUCAACUGUAGCAUUGCCUUUGAUACUGUUAGACUUGAGUUAUUGUGAAGUAGUUAGAAUGUGUGGUGUAGCGGUGAAAUGCAUAGAUAUCACACAGAAUACCGAUUGCGAAGGCAGAUUACUAACAAUAUACUGACGCUGAGGGACGAAAGCGUGGGUAGCGAACAGG